RNAcentral lists this transfer RNA (87 nucleotides) under Candidatus Sungbacteria bacterium RIFCSPHIGHO2_01_FULL_47_32. RNAcentral describes it as "tRNA-Ser". It matches the Rfam family "tRNA". From Rfam's summary of the family: Transfer RNA (tRNA) molecules are approximately 80 nucleotides in length. Their secondary structure includes four short double-helical elements and three loops (D, anti-codon, and T loops). Further hydrogen bonds mediate the characteristic L-shaped molecular structure. tRNAs have two regions of fundamental functional importance: the anti-codon, which is responsible for specific mRNA codon recognition, and the 3' end, to which the tRNAs corresponding amino acid is attached (by aminoacyl-tRNA synthetases). tRNAs cope with the degeneracy of the genetic code in two manners: having more than one tRNA (with a specific anti-codon) for a particular amino acid; and 'wobble' base-pairing, i.e. permitting non-standard base-pairing at the 3rd anti-codon position. The record is from RNAcentral. Lineage: Bacteria; Candidatus Sungiibacteriota. RNAcentral also lists the same sequence under 3 other names.
GGAGGAGUGCCAGAGUGGUUGAAUGGGACGGUCUUGAAAACCGUUAUACCUUAACAGGUAUCGUGAGUUCGAAUCUCACCUCCUCCG